Molecule: Y RNA, 110 nt
Filed under: Propithecus coquereli (Coquerel's sifaka)
Lineage: Eukaryota; Metazoa; Chordata; Mammalia; Primates; Indriidae
Description: Y RNA (ENSPCOG00000000199.1)
Rfam family: Y RNA
About the family: Y RNAs are components of the Ro ribonucleoprotein particle (Ro RNP), in association with Ro60 and La proteins. The Y RNAs and Ro60 and La proteins are well conserved, but the function of the Ro RNP is not known.
Source: Rfam by way of RNAcentral
GGCUGCUCUGAAGGUAGUGAGUUAUUUCAAUUGAUUGUUAUGGUUAGAAAUCGAACUUCUUUUUCUAUUCUUUCCCCUAUUUUCUCACUAGUGUACUUGAGUAGUCUUAA